Molecule: long non-coding RNA, 1502 nt
Organism: Malaclemys terrapin pileata
Lineage: Eukaryota; Metazoa; Chordata; Testudines; Emydidae
Exons: 2
Source: RefSeq, a predicted model, not a curated record
GGAAGAACCGGAUUGUUCAGUCACUUAUGAAAAAAACGAUUGUAUCUCUACGGUAGAACUGGUUCCUUUGGGUGGAAAGUAAACACCCAAGUUUGUAGGCAAAUAGAUGCCUAACCUGCACUAGAGGUACUGGAUCAGGGGAGUUUAUAUAACCCACGAUUUGAUCUCUGUUGGGCCCUGGGGGUGGGAGUUCCCAGCAAUAUCCUUCAAUAUAUUCUAAUAUAGGGUGGUCUCCUAUUUGUGACCGCUUAUAAGUAUUGCAACGAUCUGCCGACAUUUAUGCUGCCAUCCUUUCUAUGGCAGGAACGGGGGCUUCUGAGGGUAGUUUUAUUAGUGGGAUAACUGGAUUAUUAAAUCGCCUAGGAAAAUAUGCCCGGUCCCAGGGACAGAAGAAAUGUUUGAGAAGGCAACAAAAAACUCCAAUAAUAAACAAGACACAAAGGCCAGAGAAAAUCCAGGCCGAAAUGACUCCUGGAGCAGACCAUGAACUCAUUUGAUGAAUUAAAUACUACCAGGGGAAAUAAAAACCAUACAACCUGAACCUGCCACAGAACUUAAUACCUGGGGAGAAUUAUCAAAGGGAUGGCACGACGGCUAUGACACUGAGGGAAUAGGAUCCUUCGUGAGGUUAUAGCCGCAAGAAGGGACCAUUAUGUAGAAAGCGGGAGGCAGAAACACAAAAGGUUCACUAACUGUGACCCGAGAAUCCAAAACCGGUAAUUCGACAACAAAAAGGAACACUGGCAGGUGUAAGUAUGCAUCUGGAAACAUUAACUGCAGAGUUUUUUAAGUCCCUUCAAUGUUUUUACUAUUCUAACUGUAGGUUUACCUUUGUGUAUUGCACGUCCCUUUAUUAAGUUGUGUGUAUCACCCGAGUCUUUUACUGCUUUUACUGGAGUUUGGCAGACAAGUGUCGGACGGGCUACCGCGGAGGCUUUAGAGGCUUGUGGGUCUCAAGGCAGACGGGUUAAGUGUCUGACUGUGGCCCCAUCCCAAAACUGUUUCCCCAAAAUUCUUGGAAUUCCUGGAAUACCCCAGAAAUCCUGCUGACUACGCCAUGUGGAGAUUAACGGAAGGAGGAGGCAUACGUCAAGGCCCCAGUAGGGCCCUAAUGGGGCUCUGGGUGAUGGCUACUUCCCACCACCCAACACAGAUGGAAUGAGGUUGAGUAGUGUCCGCAAAAGAGAAACUAAACAUCUAAUUAUUCUUCAAAGAAGGCUUUUAAUGAUUUACGACUAUAAAGGCAACACAGACAGAACAAGAAAAACAGAAUUAAAGACCAGCACUGAGUGAGGAUUAACACAAAUGGCAAGUUAUACUGGAGACAAGCACAAGUACCUGUAAUAUUAUGCAUUAUUUACUACUGUAAGUACAUAUAUAAAAAGCAAGUUAUAUUGAAGACAGUCACAAGUACACGCAAUGCUGCCAUUACUUAUUGCCUAGCAACUUCACAUGUACUGUAACCAUCCCCAACCAACAUAAAUUCAUAUGCAAUAAUGAUA